Molecule: transfer RNA, 74 nt
Filed under: Caudoviricetes sp.
Lineage: Duplodnaviria; Heunggongvirae; Uroviricota; Caudoviricetes
Description: tRNA-Arg
Rfam family: tRNA
About the family: Transfer RNA (tRNA) molecules are approximately 80 nucleotides in length. Their secondary structure includes four short double-helical elements and three loops (D, anti-codon, and T loops). Further hydrogen bonds mediate the characteristic L-shaped molecular structure. tRNAs have two regions of fundamental functional importance: the anti-codon, which is responsible for specific mRNA codon recognition, and the 3' end, to which the tRNAs corresponding amino acid is attached (by aminoacyl-tRNA synthetases). tRNAs cope with the degeneracy of the genetic code in two manners: having more than one tRNA (with a specific anti-codon) for a particular amino acid; and 'wobble' base-pairing, i.e. permitting non-standard base-pairing at the 3rd anti-codon position.
Source: RNAcentral
GCGCCCUUAGCACAAUAGGAUAGUGCAGGUGAUUUCUAAUCACCAGGUUGAAGGUUCGAAUCCUUUAGGGUGCG